RNAcentral lists this long non-coding RNA (2794 nucleotides) under Manihot esculenta (cassava). RNAcentral describes it as "long non-coding RNA (MESC_LNC010754)". Lineage: Eukaryota; Viridiplantae; Streptophyta; Magnoliopsida; Malpighiales; Euphorbiaceae. The record is from RNAcentral.
UCACUACAAGAAUUUAGAAAAUCACUAACGGAAUUCACCAACGGAUUUAAGUCCGUUAGUAUCACUAACCGAUUCACCAACGGAUUGAAGUCCGUUAGUGAUACUAACGGACUUCACCAACGGAUUGAAGUCCGUUGGUAUCACUAAUGGAUAUCACCAACGGAUUUCAGUCCGUUAGUGAUACAAACGGAUUCAACAACGGUUUCUAGUCCGUUAGUGAUGCUAACGGACUUCACCGACGGAUUGAAGUCCUAAAUUAAAUCCCUGAAUUGUUUGGUUGUAAACUCUGUCCCCCGCUUCUCAUAAUUUCCCAUCGACGCCUCUCCCCCGCUUCCCUUCCCCUAUUUCCCAAUCGACGCCCUUACCUCCACUUCACUGCCGGCAGCCAAGUCGGCACCGGUGACGUCUCCUUUGCAAGUGCCGGCUACGAGCACAAUUUCUCACAGCAGUCCAGGAGAAGCACACUCCGCGAGGAGCUGCGAGAUCCACUGUCAGUUUUCUAUUCUCUCCUUUCUUCUUUGUUCCUUUCGUUUUUUAUUCAACAACUGGUACGCUUUUGAGCUCUUUGAUUUAAACAAUGUGUACCCUUUUGGGUUCUUUGAUUUGGGUAUGCUGCAAAAAUAGAAUUAGAGGAGAAACUGCAGUUGUAAAAUUAUUUUGUUUUUUAAUAUAGUUGUUGAAGACCUCCAUUAAUCAUUGCUCAGCUUAUUUGUUGGCGAUAUUCAGUGCCAUGAUUGUAUUUAAUAAAACUUCUUUCAAUUUUUNNNNNNNNNNNNNNNNNNNNNNNNNNUUGGUUCAUGAAUGGAUAUUUGUUGCGAGAGUCUGAGUUAGGUGAAACUUUGGCAUAACUUGGAAAGGUGGGGGGAGAUGGUGGAGGAAUUAGGAAAUUUUGAUGAGAAAAUGGAUAGAAUAAAUUGUGGUUACAGUGGUUUAUGAUAAUGAUAGUGAUUUGGUCAACACUAAUAUAGUUGGACAAGGCAGGUGGUAAAAUCUUGCUAGGUGUAACGUAGUAAUAUGUAUAAUAUGUAUAGGUGUAACGUAGUAAAAUCACUGGAAAAUGCACCUGCUGGUGCACUUUGCAAGUGCACCAGCAGGUGCACUGGAAAAUGCACCUGCUGGUGCACUUCGCAAGUGCACCUGCUGGUGCACUUGCAAAGUGCACCAGCAGGUGCAAUUUCAAGUGCACCUGCUGGUGCACUUGGCAAGUGCACCAGCAUGUGCACUUGAAAAUGCACCUGCUGGUGCACUUUGCAAGUGCACCAGCAGGUGCACUUGAAAUUGCACCUGCUGGUGCACUUCGCAAGUGCACCAGCAGGUGCACUUGAAAUUGCACCUGCUGGUGCAUUUUCAAGUGCACCAGCAGGUGCAAUUGAAAAUGCACCUGCUGGUGUACUGGAUUUUUUAUUUUAAAACUUUUUAUUUUUAAAACAUAUAAUUUUAAAACAUAUAUUUUUAAACAUAUAUUUUAAGCAUUUGUCUUUGUUCUUUUUGGAUAUUAUAUUUAGUUCCUCUGAUGCUACUUCACCAUGUAUAUUUGAAAGAAUCCCUUAUACAUGAUGCUGAAGAAAUCAUUAAUUGCAAUAUAUAAAAAUUUUUAUGCCAAAUCUUCCUCAUGAGCAGUACCCAAAUACAUUGUUGUUUAAUCAUGACAGCUUUUGUUAUUCAUCAUUAUAUUUUGAAAGAAUCCCUUAUCCAUGAUGCUGAAGAAAUCAUUAAUUGCAAUAUAUAAAAAUUUUUAUGCCAAAUCUUCCUCAUGAGCAGUACCCAAAUACAUUGUUGUUUAAUCAUGACAGCUUUUGUUAUUCAUCAUUAUAUUUAUGAUCAUAAUGCUCUUAUCAUAUAUGAAAUUUUGGUGCAAAUGAUAUAAUUAUUUAUUCAGGUUUUCUCUUAUUUGGAUGCUUGAAGAUCUAGCAGACAUCAGCUUUUGUUACAGUAGAAGUGAAAUUUAGUUUCAUUCUGAUAUCAGGCAAGUUAAAAUUAUCUUAUAUUUUACUCCAAAAUUAAUGAGGAUAUCAGGUUAUCAUUUACAUUUCACUUUGAUAAUCACUAAUGUCUACACAUGAUAUAACUAUGCAUAUCUUGACAUUCAUGUUUUUAGAUCUUGGUUAUUACUCCACCCUUCCCUUCUCUCUUUAUGAACUUUAUAUUAUUUUUGACUACGACAUUUUUUGUUUAUUCACAGAUGAGGGGACGUGGAAGAGUUGAGAGGCCCAGAGGACCGGUUCUACCACCUGGUGGUGCAAGUCAAGAGGAUGCAAAUACAGAUGACGGACAAGAGCAGGAGCCACAUUUACCACGGGCACCGACGGGACUCGGGGAAACGGAACUUCAGAUAUGGGUACCACUUGCAUCUGGUGUACAGCCAUCUCAUAUAGAUCGAUCAUAUACACUAGAUGCAGGUGCCGAUGGCAGAACAGGGUAUUGGGACAUCCACUCAGACAUCUGGUCCUACGGCACCUCCAGCUCCGUCUCCACAGCAGCGGCGUGAUGAUGCUCCUGUCAUUGGUGAUCAUCAUACAGAAAGUGAUGACGAUACAAAUGAUGAGCUAGCUAGUUUAGUUUAGUAUGUAUAUUUUGUUAUGACCAGUUUAUAAUUUUUUUUUCAAAAUUUAAUUGUAGUACAAAUUUUGAAAAGUUUUAAAUAUAUCUGAAUGAGUACUUUUGUUUAUUACGUAUAAAGUAUUACAAUUCAUAUACGAUGUAUGUCUAUGAAUGUACUGGGUACAGUUGUAUAACAGGUGUGCAUAAUGUAUAAAAUACCAUCUGAAUUGGGAGCAUAAAGAUGAAAAGGGGG